UGGGGAAUUUUGGACAAUGGGCGAAAGCCUGAUCCAGCAAUGCCGCGUGUGUGAAGAAGGCCUUCGGGUUGUAAAGCACUUUUGUCCGGAAAGAAAUCCUUGGCUCUAAUACAGUCGGGGGAUGACGGUACCGGAAGAAUAAGCACCGGCUAACUACGUGCCAGCAGCCGCGGUAAUACGUAGGGUGCAAGCGUUAAUCGGAAUUACUGGGCGUAAAGCGUGCGCAGGCGGUUUGCUAAGACCGAUGUGAAAAUCCCCGGGCGUCAACCUAGGGCAACUGGCAAUUGGUGCAAUGCUGGGCAGGGCUAGAGUAUGGCAAGAGGGGGUGAAAUAUCCACGUGUAGCAGUGAAAAUGCGUAGAGAUGUGGAGGAAUACAGAUGGCGAAGGCAGCCCC
Molecule: ribosomal RNA, 395 nt
Filed under: uncultured bacterium
Lineage: Bacteria
Description: partial 16S ribosomal RNA
Rfam family: Bacterial small subunit ribosomal RNA
Source: RNAcentral